Molecule: long non-coding RNA, 605 nt
Organism: Arvicola amphibius (Eurasian water vole)
Lineage: Eukaryota; Metazoa; Chordata; Mammalia; Rodentia; Cricetidae
Exons: 2
Source: RefSeq, a predicted model, not a curated record
UGGGAAAUUUGGGGAGAGUCGGGUAGCUGCUCAUGGAUUCCUGGGUAUAAAAACGUCUGCAAGUCACUGUGAGUGCAGAUGCUGAUGGACAGACUAUUUCUCAGCUUUUGAGAGAGGCAAAGCAUGGGGCACCUGGAAAUGCCACUUCCAGCUUUGACCAGGUCAGCCUUCCCUAGCUAGAGAGAUUCUGAUCUCCCCUCCUGAUGCUGGGCAGGGGCAGCAAGCCGCAGUGCCCAGUGAGCCCACGACGGGACACACUCCUGUUAUGCUCCACACCACCGCGCCUGGACAUGUGACAGAGCACCAAGCACUGAGCUGAGAAAUACCUACAUUUACCCUCAAAGGACUAUCAACUGCAGCUUCUCCAUCCGCUCCCUUGGUGGUGCUGGGGAUGUAGUCGGGAAAGAAAAUGCUCUGCCACCACACUGCAUCCCAGCCCCGGCUGAAACUCUACAAGGCUGCCUAUACACAGUCCACUCAGGGUCGUAAGGAGCAAUUUCGAGGCCAGGAAUGCAGUACAGCAGUGGACACCCGCCUAACAGGUGACGCCCUGGUCCUCACCCCUCACAGCACAAAAUGAAAUGAAAUAAAACAAACCCUACAAA